Molecule: ribosomal RNA, 301 nt
Filed under: uncultured Veillonella sp.
Lineage: Bacteria; Bacillati; Bacillota; Negativicutes; Veillonellales; Veillonellaceae
Description: bacterial SSU rRNA
Rfam family: Bacterial small subunit ribosomal RNA
Source: RNAcentral
UGUGGAGUACGGGCCGGCAGGGGCGGGAAUACGAAGGGGGGGAGAGUUGGUCGGAAGUGCUGAGCGUAAAGCGCACGUAGGCGGCUUGUUAAGACAGGGGUGAAAUACUGGAUCUCAACUCCAGAGCGGCCUGGGGUACUGGGGAGCUUGAGUUCGGGAGAGGUGAGUGGAACUGCGAGUGUAGAGGUGAAAUUCGUAGAUAUUCGCAAGAACACCAGUGGCGAAGGCGGCUCACUGGCCCGAUACUGACGCUGAGGUGCGAAAGCGUGGGGAGCAAACAGGAUUAGAUACCCGAGUAGUC